CCUACGGGUGGCAGCAGUGGGGAAUAUUGGGCAAUGGAGGAAACUCUGACCCAGCAACGCCGCGUGAAUGAUGAAGGUACUCGGAAUGGAAAGUUCUUUUCUAAGGGAAGAAGAAAGUGACGGUACCUUAGGAAUAAGCCUCGGCUAACUAAGGGCAAGCAGCCGCGGUAAUACGUAGGCGGCGAGCGUUAUCCGGAAUGACUCGGCGUAAAGGGUGCGUGGGUGGUUUGGCAAGUUAGUAGGGUAACUCCAAGGCUCAACCUUGGAACUACUACUAAAACUGUUGGACUUGAGUGCAGGAGGGGCAAGCGGAAUUCCUGGUGUAGCGGUGGAAUGCGUAGAUAUUAGGAGGAACACCAGUGGCGAAGGCAGGUUGCUAGACUGUAACUGACACUGAGGCACGAAAGCGUGGGGAGCAAACAGGAUUAGAUACCCCGGUAGUC
This 443-nucleotide ribosomal RNA is filed under the name uncultured bacterium. Its description in RNAcentral is "partial 16S ribosomal RNA". It matches the Rfam family "Bacterial small subunit ribosomal RNA", at positions 338 to 795 of the family's 1533-position model. The record is from RNAcentral.